GGCACACACAAACACAUACACGCUCACAGAGGAGGUGGGGGUCGCUUUUUGCAAGAGACGCCGAGGUAAAACAAGACAGUGGGAGAUUUUGAUAAGAUCUGGCGAGAACACUGUGAGGAUGAAGAAACUCUUUGUGAAUAUGCCGUUGCAAUGAAAAAUUUGGCAGAUAAUCAUUGGGCAAAAACUUGUGAGGGCGAAGGUCGUAUUGAAUGGUGUUGUAGUGUAUGCAGAGAAUAUUUCCAAAAUGGUGGGAAGAGAAAAGCACUUGAGAAAGAUGAAAAAAGAGCUGUACUUGCCACUAAGACCACUCCAGCCUUAAAUAUGCAUGAGUCUUCUCAACUUGAAGGUCAUUUAACCAACCUCAGCUUUACAAACCCUGAAUUUAUAACUGAGUUGCUACAAGCCUCAGGAAAAAUCAGAUUACUUGAUGUUGGCAGCUGCUUUAACCCAUUUCUGAAGUUUGAAGAAUUUCUAACUGUUGGCAUAGAUAUUGUACCUGCUGUAGAGAGUGUCUAUAAAUGUGAUUUC
RNAcentral lists this long non-coding RNA (528 nucleotides) under Homo sapiens (human). RNAcentral describes it as "non-protein coding lnc-TMEM168-3:1". The record is from RNAcentral. Lineage: Eukaryota; Metazoa; Chordata; Mammalia; Primates; Hominidae.